GAGGGAGGUAGGGGAGAGAGUGUGUCUAUUUCUGGCUCGGGAGGGGGAGGUGUCUGUGAGCUGAGCCCUGGGGGCACAGAAAGGAUCCCACCAGUUUUUUUCUUUGCUUGCUGCAGAGAGGUGGGGUAUAUGGUUUCCUGCUGCAUCUGGGAAAAUGUAUCCGUGGAGGAGAUUUAGGGGCUCAGGUAAAGGUAUUGAGAAAGGGUAUCUGUGGACACAGGACAGAGAGUUGCCCGGUGGGGUCUUGGGUAGAAACCGGCAGAGCCUGAGGGAAGUUCCCACAAACCACCUUCGGUUUCCCCCUAGGAAAACUCUCUUGGUACCUUCAGUUCCUCUGGGGCACAGUUUGCCCUCAUAAGCCCAGAAGGUAAGGGGCACAGUUACAGGACAGGGUGGUUUAAACAGGGCUCAGGGUUGACAGGGAAGUGGGGGCUGGGAUGUAAAAGGAAGGGGCUAACCCUUGGGAGCAGGAGUCUGAGUCCCCCAUUCUACUUGAUCACAUGACCUUGUCAACGUCAUUGAAGCCUUCUUGCUGUCUGUCGCUCCUACAGUUGUUAUAAUACAGCUUCAUAGGUAAAGGGGCUUUGAAACCCAAGGACUCCAAAGAGACUUGGCAUUGGUCCCUCUGCAGAGCUGCAGGGCCAAUGAAAAAGAUCCUGGAUAUGUCGGUCCCAUCAGCAUAGGAGCUCUCCAAGUGCCACACGCCCAGGGAAUGACAAGAGGUACUGCCUCGGGAAGAGAUUGGCCAGGAAGACAGUGUUCAGAGGCCCUGAGUCCAGAUCUUAGGAGACACAGAGGCAGAGCCAAGACUGUGAGUCCAUGGAGGAAAUAAGCAAGUUGAAGCUGGUCAAAGGAAUAUUGAGUAGUAUCCUGCUAGAACAUGACCAGGCAUAGAGAGGCUGGCCAUAGGGCACACAGAUCCUCAUGCUUCUACCUGAAAUAAGCUCCUAGUUCAAGCAAGCGAAAGAGCAUCUCUCAUCCCACAGACUACUUGUAACAGUGUCACAAACAGCUAGAGUUUGAGAUCCUCCUGCCUCAGCCCCCUGAGUGCUGGGGUUACAGACAAACCAUCGUUUUUAAAGUCCUCAUUCUUAUCCACCUGUCAUCCUGUAAUUGAGUCGAGAUUUCCCUGAUUCAAUGCCGUGGAAAUGUUGCUUUCUCUAAAAUUGCAAUUUAGAAACCAAAGGA
This is a long non-coding RNA of Peromyscus eremicus (cactus mouse), 1188 nucleotides long. RefSeq lists it as uncharacterized. Lineage: Eukaryota; Metazoa; Chordata; Mammalia; Rodentia; Cricetidae. The record is from RefSeq and is a predicted model, not a curated record. The transcript is spliced from 2 exons.